This 35-nucleotide ribosomal RNA is filed under the name Aliivibrio fischeri. Lineage: Bacteria; Pseudomonadati; Pseudomonadota; Gammaproteobacteria; Vibrionales; Vibrionaceae. The record is from RNAcentral.
ACCCACCUGAUCCCAUGCCGAACUCAGAAGUGAAA